GCGUUGUCCGGAAUUAUUGGGCGUAAAGAGCGUGUAGGCGGUUCGGUAAGUCUGCUGUGAAAUCUUGGGGCUCAACCCCGAGCGUGCAGCGGAUACUGCCGGGCUAGAGGGUGGUAGAGGCGAGUGGAAUUCCGAGUGUAGCGGUGAAAUGCGCAGAUAUUCGGAGGAACACCAGUAGCGAAGGCGGCUCGCUGGGCCACACCUGACGCUGAGACGCGAAAGCGUG
RNAcentral lists this ribosomal RNA (226 nucleotides) under uncultured bacterium. RNAcentral's name for it is "partial 16S ribosomal RNA". It matches the Rfam family "Bacterial small subunit ribosomal RNA", at positions 538 to 763 of the family's 1533-position model. The record is from RNAcentral.